UGAAGACAUGGCAUCUUUCAACUUACCCAGGAAAUAGCUGCCAUCUAUGUUCAUUGCUGCUGGAGUUACAACAGCCAAGAAAUGGGAAGAGCCUAGAUGUCCAUCAGCUGAUGAACAGAUAAUAGAAAUGCGGUGCAUUUACACACGAGAACAUUAUUCAGCUGGUAAGGAAAAUAAAAGGAGGAAGUUUGCAGAUAAAUUUAUGCAGCUGGUAACCCAGACCUGGGAAGGUAAAUAUCACAUGGAUGCUCUCCUUAGGAGAUGCCAGCUUUGAACCAGCAGAUUAUUACAUCUCUCAACCCUCACCAGAGAAGAUUGUUUCUACAGUACUUGGCUGUUAAUCACAAGACCCACAACUGGUCAAGGUGUAGAGAAUAAGAGAAUGCAGUAGGUUCCACCUUAAAUGAGACGUGUACCACACUCCAGCCUCCUAAGACUCAGGAAUCGUUACCUCAGAAACAGAAAGAUUGCAAAGGUAGUGGGUGACUUAACAAGGAAAGAGCAUCUUCCAGACCCAGCAUGGCAGUUGUACCUAUGAAGUCCUAGUGGUUUUCAUAGCACACACAAGACCUGUAAUAAAUAAAUAAAUAAAUAAAUAAAUAAAUAAAUAAAU
This 613-nucleotide long non-coding RNA is filed under the name Rattus norvegicus (Norway rat). Its description in RNAcentral is "long non-coding RNA NONRATT024295". The record is from RNAcentral. Lineage: Eukaryota; Metazoa; Chordata; Mammalia; Rodentia; Muridae.